UGAACGUGUCCCCUAUCGGUGG
RNAcentral lists this microRNA (22 nucleotides) under Murid betaherpesvirus 1 (Murine cytomegalovirus). Its description in RNAcentral is "mcmv-miR-M23-2-5p". Its record names the gene mcmv-miR-M23-2-5p. Lineage: Duplodnaviria; Heunggongvirae; Peploviricota; Herviviricetes; Herpesvirales; Orthoherpesviridae. The record is from miRBase by way of RNAcentral.